AUUCUGUCACUCUCUCUCUUUGGUCUCGUGUCUCAUUAGCGCCGCCAUUCACUCUCCGUUCUUCACUCUGCCGUCGUCCUUGCGUUCAUCCUGCCGCCCUUAAUCGCCGUGAUGGAACCUUCCUUCGGUUGGAAGGAGUAUCUAAGCGACGAGGUCAUUCCCAAUUUCAAAGAUUCUCUCACCUUCUUCGGUGAACCAUCGCCGGUGUACUACCAUUUCUCCAUGUCGCAGACGAUGACGACGGGCCCCCAAGAGUUGUGGCUCGGUGCAUCUGAGAUCGAAGAACCUAGAGAGCUUAGGGCAGAUUGGAUCUACAGGCCGCCCUUGCCCCGCAAGGAUGAAAAGGGAACCCUUUUUCUGAGCGAGCAAAACCCUAGAUCUAUGGCCAAAUCGAAGGAAUCGGAAGGGUAAUCGGACGAUUGGUGGCUCACUGCAUCCGAAGCCCACCAUCAUUUGCUCGCCAUACUACUUUCCCCCUUAUUUUGGCCCAAAGACGACAAACGGUUCGCCGAGAGACGUCGAACUUGAGUUCGACAACCUUCAUUUUACCUCGUGGUGGCUUGCCAUUCUUGUUGUCAACGAUCAAGAACUGAAUUAGUGCAGCUCUUUCCUCACUUGUCAAGUCUUUUCUUCUCAUUUUCUAUUUUUUGGAUGUAAUAGUAGAAUGAUUUAAGAAUGUAGAAUGACUCUCUUUUAUAGAGAAUAGCUAUUGUGCAUUUUGUAGAGGGAAACAAACUUGGUGUAAUUCGAAAAAUUUGGUUGAAAUGAAAAUUUUGGUUUCCA
Molecule: long non-coding RNA, 783 nt
Organism: Salvia miltiorrhiza (redroot sage)
Lineage: Eukaryota; Viridiplantae; Streptophyta; Magnoliopsida; Lamiales; Lamiaceae
Exons: 3
Source: RefSeq, a predicted model, not a curated record